Molecule: small RNA, 148 nt
Filed under: Pongo abelii (Sumatran orangutan)
Lineage: Eukaryota; Metazoa; Chordata; Mammalia; Primates; Hominidae
Description: Metazoan signal recognition particle RNA (ENSPPYG00000038673.1)
Source: Rfam by way of RNAcentral
GCUGGGCAUGGUGGUGCAUGCCUGUAAUCCCAGCUACUCAGGAGGCUGAGGCAGGAGAAUCGCUUGAACCCAGGAGGCAGAGGUUGCAGUGAGCCAAGAUCGUGCCAUUGCACUCCUGCCUGGAUGACAGAGCAAAACUCUGUCUCAA